RNAcentral lists this long non-coding RNA (2059 nucleotides) under Marmota monax (woodchuck). The record is from RNAcentral. Lineage: Eukaryota; Metazoa; Chordata; Mammalia; Rodentia; Sciuridae.
CUCUGCAGGUCAAUGGUGACAAUAUUUGCAAAGUGCCACCAGCAUCUCUACUGCAAAUUGAAGCAACUUAAUCCAAAUCUUUGCUGCAAAUCUCAAGCAACUUGAUUUCUUUUCCAGCCUUUAGUACCCAUAAGAAGCCAAAAGAAGAAGUUUCUCAGACUUAAAGUGUACGAAAGGAUACUAAAUCUUGCAUCUCCUGGAGGCCGAAUGGAUAAUGAAAAGGCAUAGUUGUCACAUUCUGUCAGAGCUGAAUAUCUUGGAAAUAGUCCAAUCAGUGUGUUCCUUUCAAAGAGUAGCCGGUGUUUCAGUAUGAGUUCCUCCUUCGUUAUUUCACAGGUUUAUUGUACUCUGUCACAGAGGCAAAACAUCUGUUGGCAAAGACAAGGGAAGAAAAGGGGAUUCUCCAUCUUCCUUAUGAACAUUUGCAAAGAAGUUCUGGUGAAUUUACUGCCACUGAAAAGUGGCAGUUUUUCACUUUCUGAGAUUCCAGGUUCAGGGCUGCACCAACUAAUUCCUGACUAAGAAAAAAGAAAACCUGUAAGUUCUAAACUGUCAAAAUGUAUCUUAGAGUCAAAUUUAGCAAAAUGGACACAGAAGGGAGGAUUCAGAAGAGUCUUAGAAAUCCAACCUGCUUCUUAUAAAGUUGAGUUGUUCCCUAAAGGAGAUUCAUUUAGAAUCCAUCUUUUCAUAGAACUUUAUUUAGUUCCAUAGUACCAGCAAAAUUGCUCAGUUCAUAAAGCCAUCCAUAUCAGCAAUAUUUAUAAAAUAUUACAUGGUUCUUCUUACUUCCUUCAAAUGGAAUAAGCAGUAGGAUGUCCAUUUUACAGAUGUGGUAAGUGAGAUUCAGAGAUCAGGUAUGUUUUGCCUGUGGCAUAUGGUGAUAUGAUUCUAAGUGAUAAGUCAGUAUUAUAUCUGAAUUUAUCUCUGCAAAACCCUGUGUCCUGGAGAAGGUCUAGUACAUAACAGAUACUUUGCUUUCCAGUCUUCCAUUGAAUUAAAUCAGUACCUCCAUAAUCCACUUGAAGAACUCAUCUUUUCAUAACACUUUGGAAAGGAAUAGGUGUUCACAACUACUUAGAAUAUUUAUUUGUUCGUGAAUUUGUGUCUCACCCUUUGCGUGCGAACUGUGAGAUGUUCAGAAACCACACAUGAUCACUUAGACAGUUCAGGUUUUGAAAUAACUUUUUAUAUAUCAAUGUAACUUGGUUGUAAUUUUUCUUAAAUUUUGAAUCGGGACUAAAGUGAAGUACUUAAUAUCAAAUUGGGAAGGCAUGUCAAAAACCAUGCCUGGUUUCUCCAAUCGUGAAACAGAUAAUGGUUUACUUUGGACUGAAGUAAAAAAAUAUAUAUAUGGAGACAAAUUUAGGAGUAUAUGGUAUUGAUUCUCUUGUUAUUACUAUUUUUACUAUUUGUGUGUGUCUAUAUUAUGCUUUUUUCUUCCCCCUUUUGUAUUCCAAACCUGUCUCCUGUUAUAUUAAAAAACAAAACAAAACAACAACAAUAAAAAAAACAGUCUUGACUCUAGGCACUGUGUAAACCACCCCCAAAGCUCCCCAAAUAUGGCAAGAACAGGCAACUCUUUCAAAGUUGUAUAAAGGGUGCAGGGAGCUGGUGUAUUUAGUAUCUAAGGAGCAGCUUUUCCUUUUCUUGUUACUUUUUUUCCCUUUUCCCUCAGUAGAAGCUAAAACUUUAUUAUAAAACCACAGAUAAGUAUAUCAACUGCUCAGAGGCUGGCACAGCAGAAUACAAGGAAAUAAGAGAUAAGGGAAUUUGGUCAAAUACAAAAAGUACUGUGGAAUUUAAACCAAAUGACAGCAGAUAAGGCUUUCUCUGAGUUUCUAUUAAAAAAUGUAAUAAAUAAGAAAUUCGAAAAUUUUUUUUCCAGGCCCAGCACUUUUGUUCCUACAUUGCUCAUCAUAAAUGUACAGUAUUUUCAUCAAUGUGUGGAUUCUAUUCACAGUUGCAAAAAUAUACACUGUUGGAGUCAUGCUAAAGAUAUGACAGCCUUAGAUUGAUGCCCUGUGAGUCUUUCUAUAAGGUUCAUUAUUUAAAUAAGUAG